UUGAAACCCUAAAAUUUCCCCUUAAAAUUGGUAUCCUCAAAACUCCCUUUUUCACACAGGCUGUUUUCAUCGGUUUACCUUGGAACCCAUACGAUACCUUUCCCUUUCCCUUUCACUUUCCCUUUGGUUUUGAAAAAACCCAAUUCUUAUAUUCAUUAUUCUGUUCUUAAUUUCGAUUUUUAUUUUUCUAUGUUCUUUCUUCAAUACAUUAUAGAAGCAUUUGGUCGUCUCGUCUACUUGUCUCUCCAAACUAUUGUUGGUAACUUGGUAUGGAGAGUGGAGUGGAGACUGGAGAAUCGGAGAGGGCUCUUUAGGGCUUGGGCUAAGGUGAAUGGCCAUGCUUUAAACAUGCUUUCACAGUUUCACUCGCACCCGAAACCCCUCUCUUGAUUUUUUAGACUCUCUGAGGUAAGGUCAUGUUGAGCAUUUACUUGAUUCUCCCUUUUAUUAAAAUUUAUCUUUAAUUAUCCCUAUCAAAUGGAAAGCUAAAAUGUAAAGCAACGAGUUUAGCCAAAACCCAAACCAGCCCUUGUGUCUAUCUUCUUCAUUCAUUUUUAAUAUUAAUAACCAAUUUUUAUAAGUCCUUUCCCAUCUGCAAACUGAAAGCAGAAAAAGGGAAAAUAAUCAAAUAUUAUUAGUAAAAUCACCAAUUUUGUCACAGUUCUCCAUGCUACAGUCUCUAUCCAUAACUUUCGGUGUUAAAGGAGCCUUUAAUCCUGACUGGUGAAGGGCCAUAAGAGGUUGUUAGUUACAAACUUACAAGAAAUUUAUGGGUUUAGGCAUUUCAUGGGAGUAGCCGAAGAUAGUGAACCACCCUUGAAACGUGUGAAAGGGCCCUUGGAAGAAUCCAAGAGCUUGUCGGAGGAUCAUUCAACCACAAAAUUUGUUUCUUGCUCUUUGGGAGAUCAGAUGGCUAGGCCUCUAACCUCCCAAGGGGAUGGGGAAACAAUUGGUUCACAAGGUGUUAUAAGAAAAGCAGAAUUUAUUAAAAUUAUAACUAGGGCAUUGUACUCGCUUGGUUAUGACAAAAGUGGUGCCCUUCUAGAGGAGGAAUCGGGAAUACCAUUGCAUUCUUCGAUGGUUAAUCUAUUUAUGGAGCAAGUGACCAAUGGGAAAUGGCAUGAUAGUGUGGCCACAUUGCGAAUGAUUGGUCUCUCGGAUGAAAUAAUGAAGUCAGUAUCCUUCUUGAUUUUGGAACAGAAGUUCCUUGAACUUCUUAAAAUGGAAAAAGUUGCUGCUGCAUUGGAUACACUAAGGAAUGAGAUCGUUCCUCUUUAUGUCAAUCUCGACCGUGUUCAUAAGCUUGCUUCCUGUAUCAUCUCUCCUUCGCAAUACAUAAGACUUGGUAUUUCUGGUCAAGAUACUGAGGGUACAAAGGGAUAACUUUCAUUUUGUUGGUGACAAUGUUAAGAACCUUAAACCAGAACUGGCAAAGGGUGCAAAGUUGAAGUGUAGUAGAUGUGGACUAAAGGGUGCUGCACUUGGCUGUUAGGGAAGAGUCUGCCUGGCAUUUGCUGAUGAGUUUCAUGAUUGAUGAAAUUAGUCUUGACAACCAUGGGUGUUGUGAUGGUCCUAAAACUGGUAGACUCAGGGUAUUGGAUAAUGCACCAAAGCUCUUUGAUUAUUUGGCAGAGGGUUAGUGAAGCACAGGAUAUAGCCACAAAAUUAGGUGGACAAGUCAUUGGUCACACAUGGCUUUUAGAAUCAAUUGCAGCAUGACUGAGCAAUGCUUCCUUUACAGAUCUGGGAGGCUUCUUUCAGCUGUCCAUCAUGGUUUUCAUCUGGUGCUAGGAAUUUGAUUAAGCGUAUUCUUGAUCCAAGCUCUCUUACCCGUAUAACUAUUCCUGAAAUUCUACAAGAUGAAUGGUUCAAGAAAGGGUACAAGCCACCAAAAUUUGAGCAAGAUGAGGAUGUAAAUCUUAAUGAUAAUAUCUUAUAUUUUACAUGAUUAUGAUUUAAGUCCUUAUUUCAUUGAUAUCUUUAUAUUUAAUCUAAUUUUUAUUAUUUAUUUUAGUUUUGAUUCUAAA
Gossypium arboreum is the source of this 2027-nucleotide long non-coding RNA. RefSeq lists it as uncharacterized. NCBI's taxonomy places the organism in Eukaryota, Viridiplantae, Streptophyta, Magnoliopsida, Malvales, Malvaceae. The transcript has 8 exons. The record is from RefSeq and is a predicted model, not a curated record.